AAGUGUUACAGCUCUUGUAGAAUUUGUCUAGCAGGUUUUCUGGUUCCCACCAGAAAAAUUCCUAA
Molecule: small nuclear RNA, 65 nt
Filed under: Balaenoptera musculus (blue whale)
Lineage: Eukaryota; Metazoa; Chordata; Mammalia; Artiodactyla; Balaenopteridae
Description: U7 small nuclear RNA (ENSBMSG00010005064.1)
Rfam family: U7 small nuclear RNA
About the family: Animal histone pre-mRNAs are spliced by a different mechanism than nuclear pre-mRNAs and self-splicing introns. This processing involves the U7 snRNP, which contains only one RNA species: U7.
Source: Rfam by way of RNAcentral